Molecule: ribosomal RNA, 318 nt
Filed under: uncultured fungus
Lineage: Eukaryota; Fungi
Description: eukaryotic LSU rRNA
Rfam family: 5.8S ribosomal RNA (bases 1-105)
Source: RNAcentral
GAAACGCGAUAUGUAAUGUGAAUUGCAGAAUUUUGUGAAUCAUCGAAUCUUUGAACGCACAUUGCGCCCUCUGGUAUUCCGGAGGGCAUACCUGUUUGAGCGUCAUUUCCCUCUCAAACAUUUUGUUUGGUGUUAAGUCCUAUUCACACUUACGUGUGAUGACUUGAAAUGCAUUGGCAGGACAGUAUUUUUCCAUGUAUUGACAACGUAUUAGGUUCUACCAACUCGUUGGAAAUUGGGAGAUACAAUGGUCAGGCCUUUACAACCGUGACAACAAAGUUUUGACCUCAAAUCAGGCAGGAUUACCGCUGAACUUAA